UUUCAAACAGAACAGUAACACAGUUAAUACACGAGGCCCAAGGCCAGUGUCUUUAGUUUAGUAUUUCUUUUAAUUGUAUUAGAGAUGUGUACAAUGUGUUAGGCAUGUGGUACAUUGAGCCCUAUAUAUAGGCAUGCUAACACAUCUUGUAAUUACUUUUGAGCUUAAUNAGAAUAAACUUUUCUAAUUCAGAAAAUUAUUCUCUCUUGAAAGUCAUUGGCUAGAGAGUCCAAAGACCUCUAGCCUCCUUCCAAAGCACACUACCUCAUUUUUNCACUUUUCAAUUCACCAUUGUGCUUUCUCUCUCCUCCACGACGUCACUCUUCCACGGUGGCCCAUUUCAUUGCUGCCACCUCGCAUACAUCAGCAACAUCAUUNUCUCACCAAUUCUCUCACAUUUCAGAAGCGUAUUCCACACAACACCAUUCUUCAUACUUCAGAGAAAACCUCCUCUGCUAGGGUUUCUCAUCCUCAAGCGUAUCACUCCAUUUCUUCAUCNCGGAUCUGUCGCCUCUCCUCCGUAAGCGUCUUUUUCNUUCGUAGAUCUUCAUCUGUCCAACAUUUUACCACAUCUUGACCGAUCUAACACCUUUCCUCGCNUCUUUUGCCAUCUUCCACCGAUUAAAUACCCUCAAAUCCUUAGAUCUUCAUUUUCCACCGAUUAAUCCUCCAUUUCCACCGAUUAACCGAUCCAAAUCCAAUUUCCCCUCUUUUCUAGGGUUCCAUAGAUCAUCCUAGGGUUUUUUUUAGAGUUCUUCGAGUCAUAUACAUUCCGCUGCGUAAUUCUUUGCCGGAGAAGCUUCGAGGAGGUCGAAUCGGGUUCGCACAGCUCCAAUCCGGUGUUCUCCUCAAGGCGUCUCGUAUCAAGUGGUUAUCAGAGCCCAGGUUGCGUCCACGCUAUAAGAGCUAAGUAUAUCCUUCUGUCUUUAUUCUUGUUUUCAUUUGAUUUGCGUUUUUCGUUGAUGCCAUUUUCUGUCUCAGUUUUGAUUCAUGUUUCUGUUUCGUUCUCUGUUAUUUCUUCACUUCUUGUGUUGAGUUUUGUUUUUGUGAAUCUGUCUUGNUUUUAUUCUUUGCGAUUUGUUCAUUUGAUUCGCGUUUAUUGAGUUGUUCAUUUUUUCCUUUAAUAUUCUGUGCAUCUGUUUGCUCAUCCUGUGCUUGAGUUUGUGUUUUGAGUCUUCUUCAUUUUAAUUCGGUGAAUCCAAGUAGUUUGAGUCUUUUGCUUGAGAAAUCAAUUUCUGUUAUGUCAAAGUCGUGUUGCUUUGUUUUAAUUGUCAAUUAAAUCUGAGUUUAACUGUGAUUCAAUUGAGUUUAUGGCUUUGAGUAAGAUCUGUACAUCAUCAUAAGCAGUGACAUUCAAGUGAAUGAGCUUGAUGACAGACUUCAAUAGCAGUUUUAAUGUCAGUUCAUUUAUUUGAAGCUNUCUUGAGUUUUGAUGCUGUCCAUUACAUGUAAUUGUGUUGAACUAAAAUCCAGAGUGAAUACUGUAAAUCCUGAUAUUGCUUUUGCAAUUGGUAGUAUAACUGGAAAGUUCAUGGCAUCUGUUUUCAUCAGGCAGUAGGCCGAACUGCCUAAGUUCAUUGCUAAAGUUGUUUUUUGUGUGUGUCAAAUNUGGUUGAGUAUUUAGUUCAUGACCAACCAUCUAAAAUUGUUGUUCUGCUAUUUGAGCAAGUUUUCCAUACUGUUUUAAGUUCAAUUCUGGUGCAUUCAUUUAGUAUAAUCUGCUGUUUCACAAUUUGGCUAUUAGAGUGAUUGAGUGAAAAUGCAUAAGGAACUGCACAUAUCAUAAUCUGAUAUAAGCUGAAUCUGUGCAAAAUUUUUCGUCAAACAAGAUUCAAAUCAUCAUUAAAACUUGUUGGAGCAAAGAGGANUUGACUUUAUUUGGAUUUGUGCAUUUUCACUAGUCAACUAGUCCAUUUUUCUUAAACUCUGACCAGUCCAACUCAAGUGCUGCAUAAUUGUGUUAAGUCCAGCUGAAGUGUGUUUAAAUUCUAUGAAAAUGUUGUAGCAAAAGCUGGAUUCCAUAUAAAAGAAAUAUAGCAAUCAAAAGAAAAUGAAUUGACAGUGAAGAAAAAAAGCAUUGAAUCCGUGCAACAGGCUGUUUUGGAAAGUCUGCAGAUUGUAAAAUUUAAUACUAGCUGGACUGUCUUUGAGGCAUAUUAACAAACAGUUUGUGGAAUUGGCAUUUUAUCAUUGACUNCACCUCUUUUGUUGAUUGAGUCAUUUGUUUGUGUUUUAAAUCUGUUCUAGAGCUAUUCCUAGGUUCUGUUUGUGUGCCAGCUUUUAUUGAAAGCUUUUGUUUCUUGCUUGUAUUGAUUGAUAACUCUGGUUUUGUCCAUCACGUGCAUUCUGUUCUGCUGAUUAUAAUUGAAGCUUUCCUUUGCUUUUGAAAUCUGGUUUAGAGCUCUGAGUAGAGUUUGAUCUGUGUUGACCAUUUCCAUUGCUUUGUUUUGUCCUGUUCUGUUUACCUGUUAUUGCUUUUGCUUAGCCUAUCCAUCUCUGGUUUGAGAAGCUUUCACUCUUGGUGUUUAUUUGGAAAUUUGAAAAGGUUUGUGUGCUUGGUAGCAUCUUAGGUGGUGGUGGUCUAAAAGACUCUCCAGCCCUGAACUAACAAGGGAGAAUCUCUCUUCUAAACCUUUCAUCUGUGUGAUUAAAAGUUUUUAAGAGAAGCCUUCAGAAAAAANUCUUGAGUUUGUGAGCUUUGUNUGGCUGCAUCUAAGAGCCAAAUUUCUUGUUGAGAGUGUGUUUUGAUUUUAAGUGCUGCUAUAAGUUUUAAAUUGAACUGUGUGCUAACUGUUUACUUGUGCAGCAUCACAUAAUCUGUUUGGCAAAGCAAACUGCUACUGCAAUCACUCCAAUUUAGUUUGACUACUGCAUAAUAUUCUGCACUGACUUGUUUGGGAAUUCUAUUAAAUAGUUGCAACAGUUUUGGAAGUUGGCCAAUGAAUCUGAGAAAACAGCAGCCUAAUCACUUCAUAUUGGAGUUGAACUGAAGGGAGUCUUUAACUUCAGUGCCUUUGUUUUCUUUCAGUGCAUUGUUCCUGUUAUUGUUUGGCAUUGAUUAGCAUUAGGAGAAGUAUUGAAUUAGUGUUGAAUUCUUGGUGCAGCAGAUUUCAAUUUGAAAGCACAGGAAAUUCUGCAGCUUCACCAAGUGCUGAGACCGAGAGCUUCCANGGAAAUUCGUUGUGCAGAUUGGAACUUAUUGGCAUUACCACAGUAGNAUAANCAUUCCUGUGUGCAGUUUUGUAUUGAAGAUUACAAAUUGAGUGCGAAUAGGAUUCAUGCUCUACGUCAAUUGUGCAACACCGAGAAAGGGAGAAUUCUUUAUCUUGUGCAUUCUAUUUUGUAAUNUGUUAGGAAAAAGUCACUUAACCAGGUUUGUGUAUCUGAUUUGGCAGAAUUAAAAUAGUCCAGAAAACCAAAG
Molecule: long non-coding RNA, 3421 nt
Filed under: Vigna radiata
Lineage: Eukaryota; Viridiplantae; Streptophyta; Magnoliopsida; Fabales; Fabaceae
Description: long non-coding RNA (VRAD_LNC009031)
Source: RNAcentral